GUUAACGCUAGCGGUGCGCCUAACACAUGCAAGUCGAGCGGGAUUGAUGGAAAGCUUGCUUUUUAUCAUGAUAGCGGCGAACGGGUGAGUAAUAUGUUGGUAUCUGCCCUUAAGUCAGGAAUACCCCAUCGAAAGAUGGUUUAAUGCCGGAUACACUCUACGGAGUAAAGAUUUAUCGCUUAAGGAGGAGCCUUCAUUCUAUCAGUUAGUUGGUGAGGUAAUGGCUUACCAAGACUAUGACAGAUAGCUGGUCUGAGAGGAUGAUCAGCCACAAUGGAACUGAGACACGGUCCAUACUCUUACGGGAGGCAGCAGUGAGGAAUCUUCCACAAUGGACGAAAGUCUGAUGGAGCGACACCGCGUGAAGGAUGAAGGUCUAACGACUGUAAACUUCUUUUGUGGUCGAACAUUCGAUCACGAAUAAGCACCUGCAAACUACGU
RNAcentral lists this ribosomal RNA (441 nucleotides) under uncultured bacterium. Its description in RNAcentral is "bacterial SSU rRNA". It matches the Rfam family "Bacterial small subunit ribosomal RNA", at positions 29 to 506 of the family's 1533-position model. The record is from RNAcentral.